AGUUAAUUCUGUUGAAUGUCAAAUACUAUGAAAACCAGAAUUGUUUCCAUGCAGCAUCAUUCCACUCCUCUUUGUACAGAUAUAUUUUCAGGUAGUCUUCAAAUAGUUUUUCAGCAAGUUGGUUUUUCUUAUUCCUCAUGUGUCAUCUUUUUUCAAGAUGUUUAUUAAUGCUGUACACCCUGAGCUUGAACAGAAAGAGUUAAACAUCUUGUGUUUUUCAACUUCUUCCACUUAAACAAGAAGCAAAGUAAUGUUUUUCAGAUUUUUAAGGUCAUGCUUUCUAAAAACUUCUGUUUCAAAGGUUGCUGGCACACAGCUGUAUGAUUUGAGUCUUCAAGGAUAUAUUGCUGUAGAAUCUCUUUGGAAGGAUAAUCCUAAGAAGAAGAAAUCUGGGGAAAAAAGUGAUAAGGGUGAUGCAGUUGGUGACAAGCCCCUGGAAGUCCAUGCUGCUUCAAAUAAAGAGCGAGCCCAGAAGUAAAACGCUACAUCACCUGGCAUCAGACAGGUGAAGAAAAAAAAUAUAGAUAUAAGCAACAAUUUCCCAAGAAAAAGAUGAAAACCCAUCUGAAUCCAUUUUGAAUGUGACUAAUCUGCCUUCUGCCUCGGGGCAGUCUGACUGUGUGCUGCUCGGGCUUCUGGUAUGGAUUCUGUGAAAGGACAUUACGUGGUUUGGGUCAGUCUGGAGACCUCGUCCUCCGUUCUGCAGUGGGACUGAAGUCUGCCCAUGCUUGUCCCAUUGCAGGAUCAACAUUGCAAGUAGCAAGUCUCUAAAUCCCUGAGUCUCUUAUUAUUUAUAUAUAAAAUAAAAUUCCAGAUACACAAAAUGGUCCA
This 831-nucleotide long non-coding RNA is filed under the name Manacus vitellinus (golden-collared manakin). Its description in RNAcentral is "lncRNA (ENSMVIG00005014180.1)". The record is from RNAcentral. Lineage: Eukaryota; Metazoa; Chordata; Aves; Passeriformes; Pipridae.